GAUGAACGCUGGCGGCGUGCUUAACACAUGCAAGUCGAACGAAGCAUUUAAGACAGAUUACUUCGGUUUGCAGUCUUUUAUGACUGAGUGGCGGACGGGUGAGUAACGCGUGGGUAACCUGCCUCAUACAGGGGGAUAGCAGCUGGAAACGGCUGGUAAUACCGCAUAAGCGCACAGUACCACAUGGUACAGUGUGAAAAACUCCGGUGGUAUGAGAUGGACCCGCGUCUGAUUAGCUUGUUGGCGGGGUAACGGCCCACCAAGGCGACGAUCAGUAGCCGAGCUGAGAGGGUGACCGGCCACAUUGGGACUGAGACACGGCCGAGACUCCUACGGGAGGCAGCAGUGGGGAAUAUUGCACAAUGGAGGAAACUCUGAUGCAGCGACGCCGCGUGAGUGAAGAAGUAGUUCGAUAUGUAAAGCUCUAUCAGCAGGGAAGAUAGUGACGGUACCUGACCAAGAAGCUCCGGCUAAAUACGUG
This 481-nucleotide ribosomal RNA is filed under the name uncultured bacterium. Its description in RNAcentral is "partial 16S ribosomal RNA". It matches the Rfam family "Bacterial small subunit ribosomal RNA", at positions 28 to 507 of the family's 1533-position model. The record is from RNAcentral.